RNAcentral lists this long non-coding RNA (8318 nucleotides) under Nicotiana tabacum (common tobacco). Its description in RNAcentral is "long non-coding RNA (NTAB_LNC010841)". Lineage: Eukaryota; Viridiplantae; Streptophyta; Magnoliopsida; Solanales; Solanaceae. The record is from RNAcentral.
AGGGUUUGUAGAAAGACCUUUUGUCCAACAAAUAUAGUACAACUUGGAAAAUUGGGGAAAUAUCUACAACUCUAAUCCAUAAGCAAGUGAGAACGAGAAAUUUAACAGCAACGUGGAGUCAAAAACCCAAACUGCUGCUGGGACACGAUGCUUGAAGAAGAGCAAGACCCAUCAGUUCUUUUUCUUGAGUAAAAGUACUAUGUUUAGCAUCAAAGAAUUUCAACAAGAAACUACAAGAGCUAGGAACGUAAGUCUUCUGGAAGAAUUUUGGUUUCAUAUUGUUAACUCUUCUAUUGUAAUACUAGAAUUGAGUUUGGUAUUUAACUAUGGUGGGUAACAGUAACAUGGAUUUUCAUGGUGAAAUAUACUAGUUCUUGAAUAACCAUGAACCUGGAAUUUAAAAAAAAGAAAAGGAAAAGCUAUUAAGAGUUAGUUUUGAUAGCAUUAUAGAUAGUCUAACAGAUGAUAUUUUGAGUAACACUGAGACAUGGGUAAUCGGAAUUGUGACUCGCUAUCACUUAAACUUACUGAAUUUUGCGAUUAGCAGACGGUAACAUGAACUUAUAUUAAUUUAUAGAUUUCUCAUGAAUUGAGCAUUUGGAUCGAUAAAAAGUCGUACAAAUUGCUUGAGGUGUUUGGUAUUGCGACACGAGUACGGUGAGUAGUAAUUUUACCGCAAUUUGUGUUUUCAUAACUCGCAUGAUUUACACAUAAUUUUGAUAUGAAUAUGUUACCGAUUAUUUUAAGUUGCAUGUGGGACAAGUCUUUACGCGAUAUGAUACCGAAAUAGUUGUUUGAGAUAAUCACCGUUGUUUUAAAUAUUCUUGUUGUCACUGGAUAUGUUUUACCGUUACUUGAAUUUACUGUUACCGAAAAAAAAUUACAUGAUUUUAUAAGAACCGAAAUGCCUUAUGUUGUUUUAAAAUAUUUUCCUAUGAGUAUAUACGGAUAUAGAGACAAGUAUAAAUGGGAGUACACUUUGAAGGAUCCCGUAGUUAAUGGCGGGUUCGUUAGACCUGGCAUCUUGUAUUUACAGAUUACCGAUUACAGUUAUAGCCUCNNNNNNNNNNNNNNNNNNNNNNNNNNNNNNNNNNNNNNNNNNNNNNNNNNNNNNNNNNNNAUAUUUGNCNCCUUUUACGAAGGGGUCCACACAGAGAUAUAGAUUACAUGAUCCUUUCUUGGAAACCUCCCAAACAUAAGGCUUGAUAUGACAGUGUUUAUAGAGUUUAUUACUGAAUUAUUGAUUUGUUCCUGCUCACAUGAAAACAGACAAGAUUGAUUAUUGUUACCGAAUCUGAAAAAGGGCAUUUAUUUCAUGAUAUUUUCCGAUACUAUACAAGCAUGUUUUUGACUUGUCCUCAUUAAAAACCGGUUGUGGUUAAGUGUUAUUACUCACUGAACUAGCAACUCACUCCCCGCUAUUCUUUUUUUUACAGAGACAAUAGUUGACGCGAGUAAGGAUUUCACUAAUUAGAGUAUACGAGUUAAUAGUUCCUGGUGAGCCCCGCACUUGUUCGCUUUCGCGAAGAGUUUAUUUAUUUGUUAUCGUUUUUUCUUUUGAACUCUUAGAGUCGCUCCAUAGUCAUUUUUAUUAGUCUUAUGGGAUAUUCAUUCGAUAUAUUGGGUUAGUUAUUAGUAUUGCAUUGUUUUAGAUUGAGUUUAGUAUUAUUAUGUUGAUAACAUUUGUAAUCUCUUUUUGGAUAGUUGAUUAAGAUUAUGACUCAUUUAGGUGAAUGUUGGUUAGUUGUUAUUUGUUUAUGAGACAGGAAAUUUUUUUUGGAUAGUCCUAAAACAGGGAAAAUUCUAUCCGAUUUUCUGUAAAAUACCGAUGAGACUUACUUGGGGGCACUUGCUCCUAAGCGCCGGUCAUAAUUCUAAAUUGGGUCAUGACAAAGUUGGUAUCAGAGCGUAGGUUAUUCUUGUGAUUAAUGGAGCGCACGUCGGUAGUAGAAUCUCAAUUAUGGUUAUGUAACCGGCCAUUCCCAUAAUCGUGAUUCUGCGAGGGCGUGAUAGGAUGUGUCUGGUCUUUCUUUCUUGUUCCUCCGUACGUGUGUGACGAUUAUGGUUAACUGAAUAUAUCACCUUUUAUUUUGUUCCUGUUUUGCUAGGUCCAAUCACCCAAUAAUAGAACUUGGCUAGAGGUUCAAAGAUACAAGUGUUGUCACUAGGCACCCAACUGUCUCCUAGAAAAGGAAAGCAACCGUAGUAGAAAUGCGAAUAAAAGGUGUUGUUGUACCACAAUGAGGAACUUUCAUAUCGCUAUGAUGUGUAAUAAAGUCAAUUCCUUAAGUUACCACUAGUCCACCACUAUAACAAUAGGAAAGUGUUUUCACAAAGGUAUUUACUUUGAUGAAAAAGGAAAUUGAGAUCUUGAUGGAUAUAAUGAAUAGAUAAGAGAAGAAUGGGAAAGAAAAACAGGGAUUUAAAGGCUUAAGGCACCUAAACUAACUAAGAUUAUUGAAAAGAGAGAACUAUUCUUAAUAUAAUUCCGAAAGUUGAAACUAUCAAAUUUACCAUUUCUAAUCGUUCGAAGAAUCCUCAGAUGUCAUAAUGGAAAACUUAAAGCAUUAUGGACUCUAGGAUGUAGCCAGAGGUGGGCGGUGCUAACAACUUAUAGACUGAAGAACAUGGUCAAUUUAUGGUAUGUUAUGUAUUUUAGUUACAUCCUGGGAACGAGUUUACUAAUAUAUGGUCAAUUUAUGGUAUGUUAUGUAUUUUAGGAGCACACAACUAACCUGGGAACGAGUUUACUAAUAUAUUUAUGAAUCACCUUCUUUUGAAAGUCGAUAGCGUGAAUCUACUAGGUAAGAAAUUAGUUCAGGCAACAGAUGUACUGAUAGAUGGCAUUAGACUUUCUCAGCUAGCUUAGAUACACAUCAUCUCAAGUUUAGAGGCUUGUCUAAGAGUUGCUUAGUCUUGUAAACAAGAUCCUUCUAGAAAAACUAAAAACAUGACGUGAUAUGCAAGUUUUAAAGGCAAAGCACAAGACUGGGAAAUUCCUUCGAUGAGCAUUUUAAUACGGGUCGAACAAUUGAAAACAAGGAUAAUGAAAUGCUGAAUAAAUUGUUUAGAUUGUUGCUCAUGUUUUAGGAUUCGAGGUAACCAAACAUGUUUAACAAGAUUGUCAAAUUUAAGUUGAGCAUAAAUUUAUCCUAGGUGGCUCGAUAUUACUUUAUAUGAUCUACUUUGAAAUGCCAAUAGAUAUGGAUUAAUUAGCUUCUUAUUAUGACACCCUUGAAUGCCAUACAAAUGUAGUUGAGUUUCAAUCAUCAAAAUUAAUCUAUUUUUUUCGUACAAGUUGCAAAGAUAGAUAAGAUUAGAUUAUAUAUAAAAGCUCAAUAUUACUAAAGAAUAAUUGUUAGGGUUCUCUAGCUAUGAUAAAAGAGAUAACGGAUAAGACUCCUAGCGGGGAAAAGGUACCAAUAUCAAUAGAAUUCUUUGAUGUAUUUUUGAAGAUUUAAUAGGACUACUUCUAGUGUGAAAUACAAAGUUUAUUUGACACAUGACAUUAUAUAAAAAGAAAAAAAACCCGUACUUUAUGACACGAACGGAGUUGGAAAGGGCUAAAGGAAGAAAAGAAAAAUUGCAAGACUACUAGAUAAGAGUUUAUUUGAUCGAUUAUAUUUUCUUGGGGUGCACCGGAGAUAUUUGUGAAAAAGAAACAUGGGUCUUUAAGGAUGUGCAUCAGCUAAAAGCAGUUUAAAUAAGGUAAUAUUGUACCACAUGUAUACAUUGCUAGAAUCGCAGGUCUUUAGGAUGUGCAUCGACUAAAAGCAGUUUGAAUAAGGUAAUACUGCACAAUAUGUAUACGUUACCUCCUAUAACUGACUUGCUUAAUCAAUUGCUUAGAAUCCAAAAAGAAGAUAUUCCUUAAACAAUAGUCCGAACUCGGCACGGUAUCAUGAGUUCCUUGCGAUUCCCUUCGGACUUACCAACGCUCCAGCUGCAUUCUUGGGCUUAAUGAAUAGGUUGUUCAUGUUAUUUAAGACAGAUUUAUCAUAACUUUUAUUAAUGAUAUUCUGCUAUAAUCUUGUAGCCAAGAAGAAUAUGAAGAUUAUUUGAGAAUUGCAUUGUAAAUGUUACAAGAAUAUCGGUUCUAUUCUAAGUUCUCCAAGUGCGAAUUUUGGCUAGACUCAGUAGCUUUUCUUUGGCAUGUUGUAUCCGAAGAUGGAAUUAUGGUGGUCAAAAUGACAUACACAGUUCAAAAAUAGUCAAGACCUACUACUCCUACAAAGAUUCACAACUUAUUGAACUUGGCAGGCUAUUGCAGGCACUUCGUGCAUGAUUUUCUUUUUCUAGAAUAGCAGUGCCACUAAUCAAGUUAACGCAUCAAAAUGAAAAAUUCUAGCGAAUAGAGGAAUGUGAGAGGGCUUUUAUAAGCUUAAAAAAAUCAUGUUUGACAACAACUCCAGAAUUAGCCUUACCAUCAAGUUCUAAAGGACUCACGAUAUUCGGUAAUACUUUGAGCGUGAGAUUAGGAUGUGUUUUUAUGUAAGAAAUGGUCACAUUAUAGCUUAUGCUCCAAGACUAUAAAAAUCACGAGAAAAAAAUAUCCUACUCAUGAUUUGGAGUUAGCCGCAAUGGUUAUUGAUCUGAAGGUUGGAUGCUUUACUUAUACGGCGAAACUUAUGAGAUUCAUAAUGACGACAAGAACUUAGAGUAUAUUUUCCAGCAGAGAAACUUGAACCUUCGGUAGUGUUGGUGGAUGAAAAUUCUUCAAGACCAUGAUUGUUCCUUUGGGUAUCAUUAUGGAAAGACUGAUAUUGUGGCUGAUAUAUUGAACGAAAAAGUUUAUGGGCAGCUUAGCACAUAUAGUUAUACCAAAAGGACCUUUGGCUAAAAAUAGGUAGAGACUAAAGGGUACAUAUCAAAUUUAGUGUGGAGAAUGUAGAGAUAUUAUUGGCUUGUGUUAAAGCCAAAUCUUCACUAGCAGAGCACAUAAAGUCCACUAAAUAUAAAGAUGAGCGAUUAAGUAAAUAUCGAGAUGAGGUCCUAGCUAGUACAAAAAAAAAAAAACAAGAAGGAUAUGACUAUUGAUAGUCAUGGUAUUCUUUGGCUAGGUAAUCACUUAUGUGUAUAAAAUAUAGACGGAUUAAUAGAGUUAUUAUUGAGGAGCUCACAACUCUAUAUACUCCGUAUAUUCGGGGUCCAAUAAGAUGUACCAUGACUAGAAGAAAAUGAUAUUUGUGAGAAAAGAAAGACAAAAAAAAAUAAAAAUCCUUAACUUGUUUCUGACUAUUUGACUUAUUAGCAUGUCAAGGCAAGCAUUUGCGACUCGCAGGCCAUUACAACAACUCGAGAUUCCAAAGUAAAAAUUGAACAGAAUUAUAAUGAAUUUUAUGAUAGAACUACCUCAAAUAUUUAGAGGUUAUGAUUAUGUUUGAAAAAAUGUAAAUUGGUUGCAUGGUGGGCACAUUUCUUGCUAGUCAAAACUUCAAGAAAUGAGGUAAAAUAUGCACAUAUAUGCAUGAAUGGAAAAGAAAAAAAAAUCCGACUCCUUGGGAUUUUAUUGUCCCACAUUUCUGAUAGAGAUUCACAAUUUACCGUAUACCUUUGAUAUAUCUUUCCAACAAGUGUUGAGUAUACGAGUAGAUCUUUGUAAUGCCUCUCAUUCUCUGUCAGAUGGGUAACCAAAACGUAAUGCACAAACCUUGGAGAAUAAAAUAGUUGAGAUGCUUAUUGACCUUUUUACUUGAGUUUGUUUAUAACAAUAGCUUGUAGUUAAGCAUCCAGAUGGAUCCAUAUAAAGCCUUGUCGGAUUGUUUUAAGUCGGUGAUACUAAAGUCUUAAGACUAUACUUACAGGAAAACAAAAUAGGACUAGAGUUGUUAUAAGAAGCUACUGAUAAGUUCAUUUGACUUAAAUAUGAUUGCUCACAUCACAAAGCAGACAAAAGUUUGGUGCAGAUAACAGAAAAAUAGACGUAGAAUUUAUAGCAAGAGACCAAGUGAUACUACGAGUCUCCCCUAUGAAAAAUGUGAUGCAAUUUGAAAAAACAAAAAGAGGGAAGAUGAAUCCAAGGUUUAUAAGAUUAUAAGAGUUACUUCAAGGGAUAGGAAUCGUGCUUCUCGUUUGACACUUCUUCCUAAGUUAUUUUUUUCAUCUAGUGUUCGGUGUUCCCAUUCUAAGAAAAUGUAUAUUGGACUUCUGUUAUGUACUUGAAGUACCGAUUAUCCAACUUUGAUGAGAAAUUAACUUGUAGAAGCGUCAAUCGCUAGUGUUGACAGACAAAUAAGUUACGAUCAAUAGAAUUUAUGUUCGUGAAGGUCUUAUGGAACCUAUUUCAUUGAAAAAGCUACUCAAGAAGUGGAAAAUACUAUGUGAGUCAGAUAUUCUGGUAUAUUUUAAUCUACAUGAAUGCAAUUAAUUUGAAAUUCGGGGACUGAAUUUCAUAAGAGGGGAAGAAUGUAAUAACCCAUAAUUUUAACCAAGGACAAAUUGGUCAUUUAGCAACAAAAAAAAGGAAAGAGGCCAAAGCCCAUCAGAUGUGUGGCGUGGAUUUAAUAAGGGUUUGUAGAAAGACUUUUUGUCCAACAAAUAUAGUACAACUUGGAAAAUUGGGGAAAUAUCUACAACUCUAAUCCAUAAGCAAGUGAGAACGAGAAAUUUAACAGCAACGUGGAGUCAAAAGCCCAAACUGCUGCUGGGACAUGAUGCUUGAAGAAGAGCAAGACGCAUCAGUUCUUUUUCUUGAGUAAAAGUACUAUGUUUAGCAUCAAAGAAUUUCAACAAGAAACUACAAGAACUAGGAACGUAAGUCUUCUAGAAGAAUUUUGGUUUCAUAUUGUUAACUCUUCUAUUGCAAUACUAGAAUUGAGUUUGGUAUUUAACUAUGGUGGGUAACAGUAACAUGGAUUUUCAUGGUGAAAUAUACUAGUUCUUGAAUAACCAUGAACCUGGAAUUUAAAAAAAAAGAAAAGGAAAAGCUAUUAAGAGUUAGUUUUGAUAGCAUUAUAGGUAGUCUAACAGAUGAUAUUUUGAGUAACACUGAGACAUGGGUAAUCGGAAUUGUGACUCGCUAUCACUUAAACUUACUGAAUUUUGCGAUUAGCAGACGGUAACAUGAACUUAUAUUAAUUUAUAGAUUUCUCACGAAUUGAGCAUUUGGAUCGAUAAGAAGUCGUACAAAUUGCUUGAGGUGUUUGGUAUUGUGACACGAGUACGGUGAGUAGUAAUUUUACCGCAAUUUGUGUUUUCAUAACUCGCAUGAUUUACACAUGAUUUUGAUAUGAAUAUGUUACCAAUUAUUUUAAGUUGAGUGGGACAAGUCUUUUACUCGAUAUGAUACCGAAAUAGUUGUUUGAGAUGAUCACCGUUGUUUUAAAUAUUCUUGUUGUCACUAGAUAUGGUUUAUCGUUACUUGAAUUUACUGUUAUCGAAAAGAAAUUACAUGAUUUUAUAAGAACCGAAAUGCCCUAUGUUGUUUUAAAAUAUUUUCCUAUGAGUAUAUACGGAUACAGAGACAAAUAUAAAUGGGAGUAAACUUUGAAGGAUCCUGUAGCUAACGGCGGGUUCGUUAGACUUGGUGCACCUUGUAUUUACAGAUUACCGAUUACAGUUAUAGCCUCGCUAGUGGGAAGGUAGAACUAGCAUACAGUUACAGUUUUUCCCUCAAGUAGGGACCUACAAUUAUAUUUGACUCCUUUUUACGAAGGGGUUCACACAGAGAUACAGAUUACAUGAUCCUUUCUUGGAAAUCUCCCAAACAUAAGGUUUGAUAUGACAGUGUUUAUAGAGUUUAUUACUGAAUUAUUAAUUUGUUCUUGCUCACAUGAAAACCGACAAGAUUGAUUGUUGUUACCGAAUCUGAAAAAGGGCAUUUAUUUCAUGAUAUUUUCUGAUAAUAUGCAAGCAUGUUUUCUGACUUGUCCCCAUUAAAAACGGUUGUGGUUAAGUGUUAUUACUCACUGAGCUAGCGACUCACUCCCCGCUAUUCUUUUUUUACAGAGACAACAGUUGACGCGAGUAAGGAUUUCACUAAUUAGAGUAUACGAGUUAAUAGUUCCUGGUGAGCCCCGCACUUGUUCGCAUGGGCGAAGAGUUUAUUUAUUUGUUAUCGUCUUUUCUUUUGAACUCUUAAAGUCGCUCCAUAGUCAUUUUUAUUAGUCUUAUGGGAUAUUCAUUCGAUAUAUUGGGUUAGUUAUUAGUAUUGCAUUGUUUUAGCUUGAGUUUAGUAUUAUUAUGUUGAUAAGGUUUGUAAUGUUGGUGAAAACUCUUUUUGGCUAGUUGAUUAAGAUUAUGACUGAUUUAGGUGAAUGUUGGUUAAUUGUUAUUUGUUUAUGAGACAGGAAAUUUUUUUUGGAUAGUCCUAAAACAGG